AGUGAACGCUGGCGGUAGGCCUAACACAUGCAAGUCGAACGGCAGCACAGUAAGAGCUUGUUCUUACGGGUGGCGAGUGGCGGACGGGUGAGGAAUACAUCGGAAUCUACUUUUUCGUGGGGGAUAACGUAGGGAAACUUACGCUAAUACCGCAUACGACCUACGGGUGAAAGCAGGGGAUCUUCGGACCUUGCGCGAUUGAAUGAGCCGAUGUCGGAUUAGCUAGUUGGCGGGGUAAAGGCCCACCAAGGCGGCGAUCCGUAGCUGGUCUGAGAGGAUGAUCAGCCACCCUGGAACUGAAACACGGUCCCGACUCCUACGGGAGGCAGCAGUGGGGAAAAUUGGACAAUGGGCGCAAGCCUGAUCCAGCCAUACCGCGUGGGUGAAGAAGGCCUUCGGGUUGUAAAGCCCUUUUGUUGGGAAAGAAAAGCAGCAGGUUAAUACCCCGCUGUUCUGACGGUACCCAAAGAAUAAGCACCGGCUAACUUCGUG
Molecule: ribosomal RNA, 492 nt
Filed under: uncultured bacterium
Lineage: Bacteria
Description: partial 16S ribosomal RNA
Rfam family: Bacterial small subunit ribosomal RNA
Source: RNAcentral